Molecule: unclassified non-coding RNA, 255 nt
Filed under: Hevea brasiliensis (rubber tree)
Lineage: Eukaryota; Viridiplantae; Streptophyta; Magnoliopsida; Malpighiales; Euphorbiaceae
Source: RNAcentral
CCCCAUCUGGUCUGUACAAAGGGCAGUUAUCUCGCACCUUAUGGAGUGGAAUAGAAAGUUGCCUAGCAAGAACUCCCAAAGGAUUAGCAUGUAUACCAGUAAUAACACUGCCUCCAAGAUCCACAGCAGCAAAUUGGUCUUUCCUACCCAUUUUUUGAGUAUAAACUCUCCCUCCAGGACGAUUCCUACCUUCUAAAACAACCACCUUAAAACCAAAGGACAUGAGUUGUCUUGCUGCUGAUAAACCAGCAAGUC